This 2910-nucleotide ribosomal RNA is filed under the name Pantoea agglomerans. Its description in RNAcentral is "23S ribosomal RNA". It matches the Rfam family "Bacterial large subunit ribosomal RNA". Lineage: Bacteria; Pseudomonadati; Pseudomonadota; Gammaproteobacteria; Enterobacterales; Erwiniaceae. The record is from RNAcentral.
GGUUAAGCGACUAAGCGUACACGGUGGAUGCCCAGGCAGUCAGAGGCGAUGAAGGACGUGCUAAUCUGCGUAAAGCGACGGUAAGGUGAUAUGAACCGCUACAGCCGUCGAUGUCCGAAUGGGGAAACCCGGUGCACUCUGUGCAUCAUUGCAGCAUGAAUACAUAGUGCUGCAAGGCGAACCGGGGGAACUGAAACAUCUAAGUACCCCGAGGAAAAGAAAUCAACCGAGAUUCCCCCAGUAGCGGCGAGCGAACGGGGAGCAGCCCAGAGCCUGAAUCAGUUUGUGUGUUAGUGGAAGCGUCUGGAAAGUCGCAGGGUACAGGGUGAUACUCCCGUACACAAAAACACACAUGCUGUGAGCUCGAUGAGUAAGGCGGGACACGUGGUAUCCUGUCUGAAUAUGGGGGGACCAUCCUCCAAGGCUAAAUACUCCUGACUGACCGAUAGUGAACCAGUACCGUGAGGGAAAGGCGAAAAGAACCCCGGCGAGGGGAGUGAAACAGAACCUGAAACCGUGUACGUACAAGCAGUGGGAGCCUUGAUUUAUCAGGGUGACUGCGUACCUUUUGUAUAAUGGGUCAGCGACUUAUAUUCUGUAGCAAGGUUAACCGUAUAGGGGAGCCGCAGGGAAACCGAGUCUUAACUGGGCGUUAAGUUGCAGGGUAUAGACCCGAAACCCGGUGAUCUAGCCAUGGGCAGGUUGAAGGUUGGGUAACACUAACUGGAGGACCGAACCGACUAAUGUUGAAAAAUUAGCGGAUGACCUGUGGCUGGGGGUGAAAGGCCAAUCAAACCGGGAGAUAGCUGGUUCUCCCCGAAAGCUAUUUAGGUAGCGCCUCGUGAACUCAUCUUCGGGGGUAGAGCACUGUUUCGGCUAGGGGGCCAUCCCGGCUUACCAACCCGAUGCAAACUGCGAAUACCGAAGAAUGUUAUCACGGGAGACACACGGCGGGUGCUAACGUCCGUCGUGAAGAGGGAAACAACCCAGACCGCCAGCUAAGGUCCCAAAGUCAUGGUUAAGUGGGAAACGAUGUGGGAAGGCACAGACAGCCAGGAUGUUGGCUUAGAAGCAGCCAUCAUUUAAAGAAAGCGUAAUAGCUCACUGGUCGAGUCGGCCUGCGCGGAAGAUGUAACGGGGCUAAACCAUGCACCGAAGCUGCGGCAGCGACGCUUAUGCGUUGUUGGGUAGGGGAGCGUUCUGUAAGCCGUCGAAGGUGUGCUGUGAGGCAUGCUGGAGGUAUCAGAAGUGCGAAUGCUGACAUAAGUAACGAUAAAGCGGGUGAAAAGCCCGCUCGCCGGAAGACCAAGGGUUCCUGUUCAACGUUAAUCGGAGCAGGGUGAGUCGACCCCUAAGGCGAGGCCGAAAGGCGUAGUCGAUGGGAAACAGGUUAAUAUUCCUGUACUCGGUGUUACUGCGAAGGGGGGACGGAGAAGGCUAUAUCAGCCGGGCGACGGUUGUCCCGGUUUAAGCGUGUAGGCGGAGGGUCCAGGUAAAUCCGGUCCCUUAUUAACGCUGAGGCGUGACGACGAGGCACUACGGUGCUGAAGUGAUAAAUGCCCAGCUUCCAGGAAAAGCCUCUAAGCAUCAGGUAACACAGAAUCGUACCCCAAACCGACACAGGUGGUCAGGUAGAGAAUACCAAGGCGCUUGAGAGAACUCGGGUGAAGGAACUAGGCAAAAUGGUGCCGUAACUUCGGGAGAAGGCACGCUGGCGCGUAGGUGGAGGGACCUGCUCCCCGAGCCGAAGCCAGUCGAAGAUACCAGCUGGCUGCAACUGUUUAUUAAAAACACAGCACUGUGCAAACACGAAAGUGGACGUAUACGGUGUGACGCCUGCCCGGUGCCGGAAGGUUAAUUGAUGGGGUUAUCCGUAAGGAGAAGCUCUUGAUCGAAGCCCCGGUAAACGGCGGCCGUAACUAUAACGGUCCUAAGGUAGCGAAAUUCCUUGUCGGGUAAGUUCCGACCUGCACGAAUGGCGUAAUGAUGGCCAGGCUGUCUCCACCCGAGACUCAGUGAAAUUGAACUCGCUGUGAAGAUGCAGUGUACCCGCGGCAAGACGGAAAGACCCCGUGAACCUUUACUACAGCUUGACACUGAACAUUGAGCCUUGAUGUGUAGGAUAGGUGGGAGGCUUUGAAGCGCGGACGCCAGUCUGCGUGGAGCCAACCUUGAAAUACCACCCUUUAAUGUUUGAUGUUCUAACGUAGGCCCGUGAUCCGGGCUGCGGACAGUGUCUGGUGGGUAGUUUGACUGGGGCGGUCUCCUCCUAAAGAGUAACGGAGGAGCACGAAGGUCAGCUAAUCACGGUCGGACAUCGUGAGGUUAGUGCAAUGGCAUAAGCUGGCUUGACUGCGAGAGUGACGGCUCGAGCAGGUGCGAAAGCAGGUCAUAGUGAUCCGGUGGUUCUGAAUGGAAGGGCCAUCGCUCAACGGAUAAAAGGUACUCCGGGGAUAACAGGCUGAUACCGCCCAAGAGUUCAUAUCGACGGCGGUGUUUGGCACCUCGAUGUCGGCUCAUCACAUCCUGGGGCUGAAGUAGGUCCCAAGGGUACGGCUGUUCGCCGUUUAAAGUGGUACGCGAGCUGGGUUUAGAACGUCGUGAGACAGUUCGGUCCCUAUCUGCCGUGGGCGCUGGAGAAUUGAGGGGGGUUGCUCCUAGUACGAGAGGACCGGAGUGAACGCACCACUGGUGUUCGGGUUGUCAUGCCAAUGGCAUUGCCCGGUAGCUAAGUGCGGAAAAGAUAAGUGCUGAAAGCAUCUAAGCACGAAACUUGCCCCGAGAUGAGUUCUCCCUGACUCCUUGAGAGUCCUGAAGGGACGUUGAAGACUACGACGUUGAUAGGCCGGGUGUGUAAGCGCAGCGAUGCGUUGAGCUAACCGGUACUAAUGACCCGUGAGGCUUAACCUU